This 610-nucleotide long non-coding RNA is filed under the name Homo sapiens (human). RNAcentral describes it as "HSALNT0224018". Lineage: Eukaryota; Metazoa; Chordata; Mammalia; Primates; Hominidae. The record is from RNAcentral.
UCAUCCUACACAAGAGCACUGCUUCUCACAGGACUGCCUCAGCCUGGCAGGAUUCAGUCUCCUGCUCUGAGGGAAAAACAGGAAGUCAAGGAUCAAGACCGAGUGCUCAACUGAGAUCAGAAAGGAGGACACACAGUGACUUGGCCAAAUCACUGGAGAUUCACACAGCAGAGCUCAGACGAGUGCUAUCAGCACAGCUGAGGAAGACAACAGUUAGGGUGCAAGGAUCCUGAAAGAGAAACAUUGGUUGUGUUUUUAUUCCUUGGGUAUAAGAAUCCUGAAAGAGAAAGGCAUCUGAACCUUGGAGGCAUGGGGUUCAUCUCAUCCUCAUCCAGCCUGUGAUGAUGGAGCUGUUUUCACCAGAAACAACUAUUUGUUGGAGUGCCAGAUUAUUUAAGGGCCUUUGCAUGUUUCAAGUCCUCUUCUUAAAGUAAGAAUACUCUCCACAUUUAUAACAGCAACAAAAACACCAAUGUCAGCACAAAAUGCAAAAACGGAGGCACUUCUAUGUCAUAAUGAUACAUCAGAGUUCUGCUCAACUCUUUUUUAGAAAAAGAAGCUCAGACUUACACACAUCCACUUUCUUAAAUAAAUAAUUGUUCAAUGAAAG